GGCGCUAGGCGGCCGGAGCCGGCCCGAGCCGGCCCGCGCAGGCCCGAGCUCGCCUUCCGACCCCGGCACGAAGGCGACGGCGGGCGGAGGCAGGGCCUUUUUCUCCCCUGCACAAUCUAGACGCCGUCCUCCCCCAGCCCAGCCAAGACUGCAUUCUCCGGUACCUGUUGAAAACAAAGAGGAAAAUAUUUAAGAAGGCUAAAUAAAGGAAGGAAAUAAACUAAUUCAAAUGUAAUGAAACCGGGUGCACAUCCUUCUACCAAUGAGGAUAUGGCUCAGUGUGGAUAAGGUGAGAAUAUUUAAGAAUCUGGAGAAGAAGCAUAAAUAUGAUUUUUUUCUUUUUUUAAAAAUUUUUAUUAAAUAAAGGCAAAAGGGAAUUCAGCUGCAUGAUACAAAGACUCCAGUUUGAUCAAAUUCCACAAAAACCUUUCCCACCUAUGUGAGAAGAGCUCUGUCUCCCUAACCCACGGGGGACACGCGGGAAACACCGCCUCAGGGAGCUGGCUCUCGAGGCCGCGCACACGCUCAAUUUCUGCUCCAUCCCAAGAGGCGAGGGCAGAGGAUGCGAUGGUUCUCACAGAUCUGCUUUACAAAUAAACUCGGGUUGACUCUUCAGAGGAGUCUCUUACGACACUUUAUUUUCAAAGAUCUGAGAAGAAAGUAGGGCAAAGGGCCAGGUAAGCAGUGCUGUGUGGCAAGUGGAAUGUACCGGUCUGUGGAGCCGUGGCGCGUUUAACAGAAUCUCAUCAGGCAUUGUAUGAAGACGAGGACACGCUGCCACCGUGGCCUGUCCAGUUGGUGUGGAUAAACUGUCCUGGCUUGUUCAAGAGUUCAUAGGUGUGAGCCCCAAAGUAAUCGCGCUGAGCCUAGAAAACAAGAAAUGGGUUGGUUAUAGGACAGACGCAGGCACAUGACCCGAGGUACCACCCAGGUUCAUGUUCAUCGCCUACUCCAAAAGCUCACCUGGAUUAGGUUGGCUGGCAGCAUCUUGUGUCUGUAUCCAUCGUAGAAGGAAAGAGCAGUGGUGAAGCAGGGCAUGGGAAUGCCUGUCUGGACACCAGUACUGACUGCCCGCCGCCAGGAGUCCUGAGCAAAAAAGUAAAGCCAACGACUAGUGAUUUGCGCAAAGAAAAGACAACAGAUUUUCAUGCAUAAAUGAAAAAGCAGACCCCCCAGAGCAAAACUCACUAAGACAGAAUUCCCGUACUACCCAGCUCUGGGCUACAUACCUGGCAGUUUUCCACAGCUGACUUAAAGAAGUCAUCUAGUAGUAGGUUCUGAAGUCCUGGGUUUCGAUCAAAUGCAUCUUUUAUCUUUCCCAGGAAUACACUGAAAUAAUCAAGAGGGAAAAAAAUCAAUGAAUCUUAACUAGCAGGCUGAACACCUGGCAGAAAGCAGGGGAAGUAAGUUGGAAGCUGACAGAUACCCUCGCGAGGUACGAAGGCACCUGUCCCCCCAUCCCCACCAGCUCGCUGUACGUGCCGUGAAUACAGACAGCCCAGGUCCCGAGAGGUGAGGGCCAAGGGCACAACCAUGCUCACAGAACUACUUUAGACGGGGAAGGAUGGACACUCGAGUUAGAAUAACUGACGUGCAGGAAGAAAGUGAGACGUGACACCUAAACCUGCCUGGUUGCCAACGUCCCAGCGAGAGGACUCAACUGUACCAGUUCCAGGGAAACCGUCCCCGAGAGCGCCCUAAGACCACAGCGCUCCCGCACGGCAGGUGGCAGGUGCCCCGACCACUCACCUCCUGAUGAUGCAGCCCCCUCUCCACAUCAGGGCAAUGCCACCAUAGUUGAGGGUCCAGCCAAAUUCAGUGGCUGCCUGUCUUAGCAGCAUAAAGCCCUGAGCAUAAGAGAUGAUCUUGGAAGCAUAGAGCGCCUAAAGGAGGGCACAAAGACUCAUCAGAACUGCGGCUGGCCCACGGCUGCCUAAUCCCCGCCCCGCCCCGCCCGCCACACACCCCCCCUCCCCCGCCACCGCAGUGCAGCUCUAACGAGGACACGGUUUAGGAAAGGCUGCAUAUCAGAUCAACGGGCAAGGCUGGACAGACCCCACGUCCUCCCCGUGGCCUCGGGGUGUUCUCCCCGCCAGUCCCAUCCCGCUGCCACUGCGGGGCGGCACCCCACCUUUCGAAUGUCCUCCAGGAAUGAUUUCUUAUCUCCUUCGAACUGGACCUUUUGAGGCCCCUUCAGCUUUUGGCUGGCUUGAAUCCUCUCGUCCUUCAGAGAUGAUAAGCAUCGAGCAAAGACUGCUUCUCCUAUGUGGGGGGAGGGGGAGAUAACAAGUCACCACAACUCACAGGCAGAACCCGAGGAGGAGCGCACACGAGCCAGAGAAGAUGAGGGAAAAGAGCAAUGCAGCACGAUUUCCAGUUUUACCACGAGCGCAAAGUCUCAACCUUCGGCCGCAAAGCUAACCUGCAUCAGAAAGAACUUUCAUAAAAAGCUCUAACGGUUAAUUUGAAAAUGAAAACUCCAAGUCAGUCUCCAACAUAAAUACACGUAUUCAACCUCAAAGAUCACCAUGAACUUCAAAGGGGAAUUUUAAGGGGAAAAAACGAAGAGCAAAACCACUAUCAUUAAGAAUUACUCCGUGUUGGUCCUCCAGUAAAAUUUCAGUUCCAUUUGCGAGGACUUUAAUUUAUAAAUGGUCACCAAAGACUUCAUUGCUUUUCUUUUGAGGCACUAAUACUCAUCACUUUGAAACGAGUACACUGAGACUUCUCCCUUCAAAAACUCCAUUUUCUAAUUCUUACAGUUUAGUUUUUGCUAUGUCCAUGGUCACCAUUACAGUUUCACAAUUUUACUUCAUUUGAAUAAAAAAUAUUUCAAUAUUUUUGGGGGGUGGGGGCUGUGCUGUGCAGCAUGUGGGAUCUUAGUUCCCCGACCAGGGCUUGGACCCUCAUCUCUGUACUGGAAGGCGGAUUCUUAACCACUGGACUGCCAGGGAAGUCCCCAAUAUGGUAUUUUAAUAUUAAAAUAUUAGUAUCUUAAAAAUUAUCACUUAUAAAUGCUUGCCCAGUUGACACUUUAUAUAAUUAGAAUAAAUUAACCAUUUUUUCCCCCAACAGACAGAAUGAAGUAAAACCUUUGGGAACUAACAGAGGACUUUAUUUCUGAGGAAAGAGUUCUGGCCAUAAACUUGAGAGCAGGUGUCGCCCUGUCCUUGUCCUUGCCCUGCUCUCUGGGCGCCUGCAGUGCACACACAGGAUGACUUAGCAUUCUUAGGCGGAAGCUUCAGAAGACAAAAAGCAGGAAGAGGCGAGUGUGGCGUAACCCUCCGGGGGUUACCUAAAGAUUAGCUGGAAGACUCAUUUCCCCGUCAGUUCAACAAACAAGAAUGGCACGCAGCCAGGGAGGAAGCCUGACUACCAUCAGCUGGAAGGUAGGGUACAAAGUCUCCGAAACAAGAGAGUAGGAUUCUUUUUGAGGCAGUGAUGAAUAAACUGCUCCCAGUUACUGUUCCCUUGGGCCCCCGCCCAGGGUAGCGCUCAGAUUAGCUAAAAAGCAGUCAACUUCCUUCUCUGUAGAGCUGGACUAAGCAAACUGCUUCCCUCCUUACUGUGCCUGCAACUACCCAGUCCACUGUAAACACAGUCAGGCAUAAUUAACAGGAAACCAAAGGCAGGAGGAGACUAGAGAGGGAAAGGCAACCUAUGUCUGGAAGAGUCAACAAGAAAACUUGUUUUAUUACUGCAGGGGGAACCAUUCUGCCAGGAGCAAAGAUCAGCCUUCAUUAAGCAGACCAGGAGCCUCCAUUCUCCUUUUCCAAUCUUGACAGAAUGUAUCUAUUUUAUUCUUAAAGAACCAUCACGUAGUUUUGUUAAUCCCCUUAUUAUUUUUGUUUUAUUUCUGCUUUUUAUUAUUUCCUUCUCUCUACAACUUUUUGAGUUUGAUGCUUAGCUCAUUAAGACAAGAUAAAAAACAUGGAUGGGAAGGAUAUACACUCACUUCAGGACAGUAGUUUUCUUCUAAAAGAAAAAGGGUAAGGAACUUAGGAAAAGAAUAUUAAAGGACUGGAAAUGCUUAGGUAAUAUUUUAUUCCUCAAAUAUCUGAGAAAAAAACCUCAGCAAAAUAGUAAUAAAUGUUGAGUACAUAAACUUUUAUUAUUCUGUGAACUUUUGUAUGAAAAAUUCCAUUACAGUUAGCUUCCCUAUUAGAAAGAUCUUAGGUCAUUGACUACAAUUUAAUCACUAACGUUAAAACGAUCCCCAAAGUCAAACUGGCUAAGACAGGUAGUAACUUUUGAAUUUAUCUCAAAGCUCACAUGCUUGACAGAAGGAUUAUAAAGAAGAGAUUCAACAGCAGCUUCAGCCUCUCUCACACCGUCAACUUAUUCAAGGGCAGAAAGAGCAGACCACACUCGGAAAGCCGACUAGGGUUGAAGAGAUUCUCUGAGAGAUCUGGUAACUCUUAGUUGCCAGAAAGACACCAGGGUCAAAACAGUGAGAUGAAAAGGUUCAAUCCAAAGCUGAGUGUUACCGAUGAGGGUGACGGGGACGCCGUACUCCAGGGCAGAGAUGGCGGUCCACUUCCCGGUGCCCUUCUGCCCCGCGCUGUCCCUGAUCUUUGGCAGCAGGUGUUCGCCAUCAGUAUCUUGGAACCUGAGAAUAUUGGCUGUGAUCUCAAUCAGGAAUGAGUCCAGCUCUGUCUUAUUCCAUUCCUCAAAGGCCUGUGGGCAGGAUGUGAAAGAAAACAAUGUGGGAGAACCUAGGAUUAUACCGGAGAUGCUCCCUUAACUGAUUCAUCCCUUUCCCAUGUAAAUAUUGACCGAUGCUCACAACCUGCUCAACCCCUGAGGCUACCAGGCUCCUCUGCAGGACACCCGAACACUUCUGCCACCAGCUGAGUUUUAUGCUAACCAACAGUCAGCUGCUUCUGAUUUCAACCUGUUCAUGCUGAUUUUCUGGUCACCAGGCCAGUGCUUUCCUCAGAGCCAGGUGUCCCCUCACCUCGCUUGGGUUUUCGUACAGUCACUUUCCUUGAUCACCCGCUCUAGAGCAGCCUCUUCCUCCCGUUUACUUUUCUUUAUAAUAGUGAUCACGAACAGGUUUUAUAUAUUUAGUCAUUACUGCCUAUCUUUCCAAGGUCCAUGAGGGCAGGGACUUUGUUUCUUCCACUAAUAUAUCCCCAACAUACAACAGUGCCCGGCACUCAUAUUAUAUAAACCAAUUAAAUAUGAACACAAAAAGAAAAGCAAUGUUUCUAUGAAAACUAAGUCAAACUGUUUUGGAAAGAACAAUAAAGGCAAGUUAGUGAAACAAAAUAAGUGGGGAUGACGCAAUUUUUUUUUUUUU
Long non-coding RNA from Globicephala melas (long-finned pilot whale), 5302 nucleotides. RefSeq lists it as uncharacterized. Lineage: Eukaryota; Metazoa; Chordata; Mammalia; Artiodactyla; Delphinidae. The record is from RefSeq and is a predicted model, not a curated record.